Molecule: RNA transcript, 2840 nt
Organism: Glycine soja
Lineage: Eukaryota; Viridiplantae; Streptophyta; Magnoliopsida; Fabales; Fabaceae
Gene name: root phototropism protein 3-like
Exons: 8
Source: RefSeq, a predicted model, not a curated record
UAAAGAAACUGAGCUGAAAAAGAUGGACAUGUAUGGUCAGUGGUCACACUGGUGAGGCAUAAAGAAACUGAAACUCGCUGUCUUUGAGCAUUGACUCAGAAGAGUACCAAAAAUCCAAAGCUGGAACAAACAGAAACUUUGAUGAUCAUUCACAAAUCACAAUAAAACUGAUUAAUGCCCAUUUCAGCACAGCCUGUAAGAGGUCCUUGAAAUUUUUUUGAGAGAAGAAACCGACAAUUUUAACAUGACUAAUAAUUCCAAGUUUCCAACCAUCCCAUGUGGCUCCCUACUCCUUUCACUGAAUUCUGUGCUUGCCUAGUCACUCUGCUAUUCUUUUUUCUCUGCCCCCUCUUUUUUUUUUUUUUUUUUUUUCUUGUUAGUUAAAGGCACUGUCCCAAGAAAAAUUCUAGAGUACUGCAUUCUGUGAAUCUGGUUUUCAGCAUGUGGGAAUCUGAGAGUGAGUCGGCUGCAACACACAAAUAUGGGGGUGGACUUCUCACUUCAACUAACCAUGGUGUCAAGACAGAAGGAUUUGUGCAAAGAGGCCACUCUUGGUAUGUUGCUACUGAUAUUCCAAGUGACUUUCUUGUUCAAAUUGGAGAAGCUAACUUUCACUUGCACAAGUAUCCCUUGGUAUCUAGAAGUGGAAAGCUGAGUAGAGUCAUAUACGAAUCCCACGACCCAGAUUUGAAUAAGAUAGUUAUGGAUGAUAUCCCUGGUGGGGAAGAGGCUUUUGAGCUUGCGGCCAAGUUCUGCUAUGGAAUUGCUGUUGAUUUAACAGCAGGCAACAUCUCAGGCCUAAGAUGUGCGGCAGAGUACCUUGAAAUGACUGAGGACCUUGAGGAAGGGAAUCUUAUAUUCAAGGCAGAAGCAUUCCUUAGCUAUGUUGUUUUGUCUUCAUGGAGAGACUCCAUAGUAGUGUUGAAAAGCUGCGAGAAGCUGUCACCUUGGGCGGAAAACCUUCAAAUUGUUCGCAGAUGCAGCGAGUCCAUCGCUUGGAAAGCUUGUGCCAAUCCCAAAGGGAUAAGGUGGUCCUACACUGGAAGAACUGCAAAAAUUUCUAGCCCAAAAUGGAAUGAUAUGAAGGACUCAAGCCCAAGUAGGAACCAGCAGGUUCCUCCAGAUUGGUGGUUUGAAGAUGCCUCAAUCCUUAGGAUUGAUCACUUUGUUAGAGUCAUCACUGCCAUCAAGGUAAAGGGCAUGAGAUUUGAAUUGGUUGGUGCUUCAAUAAUGCAUUAUGCAACUAAGUGGCUACCGGGAUUGAUUAGUGACACAGCAACCCCUGGUGAUGAAGCAAGCAACUGCAGCAUGAGUAACAGUAGUAGUAGUGGCGGCGGUAGCUGGAAAAGUGGACUUCAUAUGGUUGUGACUGGAACAAAAGAUGACAACACUUCAAGUCUUCAAGCUAAAGAGCAAAGGAUGAUCAUAGAGAGCCUUGUCAGCAUUAUUCCACCUCAGAAGGACAGUGUCUCAUGCAGCUUCCUUCUUAGGCUGCUGAGAAUGGCAAUCAUGUUAAAGGUUGCACCUGCACUGGUCACUGAGUUAGAGAAAAGGGUGGGAAUGCAGUUUGAGCAGGCUACACUGGCUGAUCUUUUGAUUCCUUCUUAUAAUAAAGGAGAGACUAUGUAUGAUGUGGAUCUUGUUCAGAGGCUGUUAGAGCAUUUUAUUGUUCAGGAACAGACUGAAAGUUCAAGUCCAAGCAGAAAUUCCUUUUCUGAUAAACAGCAUAUGGGAAUGGGAAUGGGAAUGGGAUGCAUCCUAAAUGCCAAGGCAAGAGUGGCAAGGCUUGUUGACAGUUAUCUUACAGAGGUGUCCAGAGAUAGGAACCUUUCCCUUACCAAGUUUCAGGUACUUGCAGAGGCUUUGCCUGAGUCAGCUAGGACCUGUGAUGAUGGACUUUACAGAGCAAUUGAUUCCUAUCUUAAGCAGGCUUCUUGUUCUCAUCACAAAGAAGGGAAAAGUUGAUUAGUGGCUCUGUCAGAUACAAGGGAGGACAUGCUAUAAUACACUGGAAAGAGACGCACCAUUGCUAUUCCCUAGAAGUGGAAACCAAACCAGUUUGGGAUUAUGUGGGAGACAACUAUGUUCAUAGACUUAUUCAGUCCAAAACUGAUGGGAAGUUGGUUGAGCUGAACACUCGGUGUGCACAUGCAGACAAUGAAUGUGGAAGUUGCAGCUGUGAAGAUAAUGCCAUGAAUGAGGCUAUACUUAAUAGUAAACUUGAAGCUAUUGUCGAUGAGUAGAAUGAAUUGCUUGCUACUCAACUUAAGUGUCCUCCAUUUGUCAUUUACCGUGAACCUGCCAACAUUGGUUAUUUGCCUCCUUAAAAGAAGAAUCUGAAAGAAAAAUUUCCAAAGCUGUUCAGAAGGCUAUCAGUCUUAAACAGCAGAAGAUUCAGUCCAAGAUUGACAGAUGUAAGAAAGAGAAGAAAUUUCUGGAUGAUCUUAAUGAGAAUCUUGUGAAAAAUGAGGAUAUUUGGAAAACAAAGAUACUUGCCAUUGAAGAGAGCUUGGAGAUCUCAUGGUUUGUCUAGAGGGUGGGAAGACUGUAGAACAGCUGCCAGUUUCAGAUGAGAUUACAGAAGGGAUUGUCUUGGUCAAAUCAAAAGAAUCCUCGACAACUAGUGGCUCUGACCUGGUGGGAAGAGACGCAUAACAGAAGAAUGGACUACAUUUCUCGGACUGACCUAUACCAUGUUUAUAUUCACAGAUUUAUAGAAACUACACUCGUGGAUUCACAGUUGACAUGUUUUCACUCUAAUUUUUUCCCGUAUAAAACUCUCUGUGUAUGUAUCUGUUUAGAUUUCUAAAUAAAAAGAUUUCCAACUACCAGUUUAAAUU